This 253-nucleotide ribosomal RNA is filed under the name uncultured bacterium. RNAcentral's name for it is "partial 16S ribosomal RNA". It matches the Rfam family "Bacterial small subunit ribosomal RNA", at positions 524 to 776 of the family's 1533-position model. The record is from RNAcentral.
UACGAGGGGAGCUAGCGUUGUUCGGAAUUACUGGGCGUAAAGGGCGUGUAGGCGGUACCAUAAGUCAGAUGUGAAAGCCCUGGGCUUAACCUAGGAUGUGCAUUUGAUACUGUGGAACUAGAGAUCGGGAGAGGAAAGCGGAAUUACGAGUGUAGAGGUGAAAUUCGUAGAUAUUCGUAAGAACACCAGUGGCGAAGGCGGCUUUCUGGCCCGAUACUGACGCUAAGGCGCGAAAGCGUGGGGAGCAAACAGG